RNAcentral lists this ribosomal RNA (229 nucleotides) under uncultured bacterium. Its description in RNAcentral is "partial 16S ribosomal RNA". It matches the Rfam family "Bacterial small subunit ribosomal RNA", at positions 568 to 796 of the family's 1533-position model. The record is from RNAcentral.
UGCGUAGGCGGAUUAAUAAGUCAGUGGUGAAAACCUGCAGCUUAACUGUAGAACUGCCAUUGAUACUGUUAGUCUUGAGUACGGUCAAGGUAGGCUGAAUGUGUAAUGUAGCGGUGAAAUGCUUAGAUAUUACACAGAACACCGAUUGCGAAGGCAGCUUACUGGACCAUUACUGACGCUGAGGCACGAAAGCGUGGGGAGCGAACAGGAUUAGAUACCCUGGUAGUCC